This 253-nucleotide ribosomal RNA is filed under the name uncultured prokaryote. RNAcentral describes it as "partial 16S ribosomal RNA". It matches the Rfam family "Bacterial small subunit ribosomal RNA", at positions 525 to 777 of the family's 1533-position model. The record is from RNAcentral.
ACGUAGGUACCGAGCGUUAUCCGGAUUUACUGGGCGUAAAGCGCGUUCAGGCGGUUUGGCAAGUCGGGCAUGAAAUCUCUCGGCUCAACCGGGAGAGGUUGUCCGAUACUUCCAGACUUGAGGGCAGUAGAGGGUGGUGGAAUUCCGGGUGUAGUGGUGAAAUGCGUAGAUAUCCGGAGGAACACCAGUGGCGAAAGCGGCCACCUGGACCGACACUGACGCUGAGGAGCGAAAGCCAGGGGAGCAAACGGGA